This 28-nucleotide transfer RNA is filed under the name Petrochromis sp. 'macrognathus rainbow'. Its description in RNAcentral is "partial tRNA-Pro". Lineage: Eukaryota; Metazoa; Chordata; Actinopteri; Cichliformes; Cichlidae. The record is from RNAcentral.
CUAGGAUCCUAAUUUAAACUAUUGUCUG